Molecule: long non-coding RNA, 989 nt
Organism: Brassica napus (rape)
Lineage: Eukaryota; Viridiplantae; Streptophyta; Magnoliopsida; Brassicales; Brassicaceae
Exons: 2
Source: RefSeq, a predicted model, not a curated record
CUCUAUAAUAUAAACUUGUCAUUUUGUUGAGAAGACAGAAUUCAAUUAUUCACUAUUGCUGCAAGAUGUGUCCUUAAUGUUUGAUUAAAAUUUACAAAUUAUAACGUAUGCUUUUAAAUUCAUUUAUUAUUUUAAAUUACUAAAAUAAAUAAUAAUGAUUUUUUAUAAAAAAUACACGGCCGUUACUUCCGUUGGGAACAGUUUUUUAUCCCGCCCAAUGUUAUCUCUAUGUGUCAGAGACUGAUUGGUUACAAAGAUAUGCUUCAUCUACAUCUGAAUCCUCCUAUCAUGCCUCUAAUGGUUUUUUUUUUUUGCUAAAAUAUCAUGCCUCUAAUGUUGUUAAGAAUUAGUUUUUUUUUUUUUAAAUGAUGUAUCUGACUAAGGAUGAAGUUGUGAAACUAUCACCGCAUGCACGGGCAUCAGAGAUGUGGAAGAUGAGGAACUAAGAUGCUUUUUCUUCGGAAUGUCACCUUGACAUCUUUCUUUUGUGAUUGCUUUGUACACAGCUUGGUACGAGAAGAGACAGAUGAAAAAUAUGUACUCUCCCCUCCUAGAAGGACUAUUGGCCCUCAGUAUUGAAUAGGUUCAGGUAUAUACUCACGAUCACCGAAGAAUGUUACGUCGGAGAACCGAACGGAUUAGAUCGAAGACCACUGAUGAACAGUUUUAAUCAUCUCUAGAUUAUUAAUUGAUGGGGAUAGUUUUGUGUGUAUUUCUUUGGUAUGGGGUCGUAUAGUAAUUAAAGAAAUUAGGUAAGACCACUUCCUUAAAAAUUAGACAGCUGCCACAUUAUACAGUAGAGAUCUUACAUAUACAUAAGCCUGUAAUUUGUUCCUCACGUAGUCCUAGUGAAGUUUAAUUAAGAUCAAUAAAAAAAUUUCCGAUAAACCUUAUCGGAUCCGGUCGGUUCUGAGAGGAAAUGUAAUUAGUGAUACAAAGUGGACUAUUCCGAAAGCGUACCACACUGCAUAAUCUGAAUUUGAAAUAUC